Coturnix japonica (Japanese quail) is the source of this 9747-nucleotide non-coding RNA. The record is from RefSeq and is a predicted model, not a curated record. Lineage: Eukaryota; Metazoa; Chordata; Aves; Galliformes; Phasianidae.
CCCACUCACCCUGCAAGAGAAUUACAUGCUGUGAGACCAGGGGUUUCAGGUACCUCUGCGUUUCUACAUGCUUAUAAAAAUGGAAUGAUCUUUAACAUUGGAAGUGUUUUUAACCCAGAGCAGGAUGUUUUCCCAUGAGGCAUUACUAAUUAUUUGUAUUGCAGGCGCACCCACGCAUCCUGGGAACAGAGCAGAUGUCUAUGGUGCACCAUAUUGCACAAAAGAAGCACAGUGAGGGAGCUUCCACCCCAAAAUGCAUUACCCACUGAGUCAGUAGAGACAGCUCAAAGCCACGGGUCCUUCUGACCCACCGUGCUCAGAAAGGCUCCUUAUGGAGGCUGUAGGGAGGUCAGAGCUGAGGUGAUAUUUGCAAUGUGCCAGUGCAGUUGUUUACACUGCUGAACCUGCAGGGCAGGAUCCAAUUCCUGUGUGGUGUGUUGGGUUGAGUAGGGGCUGGGGGUGUGGGGGUUCAGCAUGGGCUGGCUAUGGCUCCCUGCUCAGACAGAACCAUCAUGGCUAAGGCUGAGCUGCAGUGAGCAGGAGGAGGGAGGUCUGGAGACAAAGAGGUAAAGGUGAGUCAUCAGCAAGAGGAGAAGUGUUGAAUUUAUAUUCUAGGAUGAAAUCCUUGUAGUGUGUCAAGCAAAUCAGGCCAGAAUUUAGAGCUUGCACCACAUCAGGAUAUUCUGGGAAAGGUGGAGGGGGGCAGAGAGCCCCUCUCCAGAUGAUUGGAGAAGGACAGCAUUGCUGCAGAGUGCCAGAUGGAAAAAGCAGCUUUCUGUGACCUCGAGGCUUAGGGGAGCAGUGAGAGCUUUGGGGCUUUGUGUGCUCUGAACCACCAAGGGAGCAGCGAGGUAGCAGAAACUGGUGGGGAAAGGCACCAUUGGUGGUUUUAAAUCUCCAUCGAUUUAUGUAAUCUCUGAUGAUGAUGUUGUCACAAGCAUCAUUGCUGGGCAUGGUUUUUCUGCCCAGCUCUCUGUCUUCCUUGUUUUGUUGUGGAUCUACAUUUGGAGAUUGCACAGGUGCAACACACAAUGAGCUCACUCUGCUGGGACCUGAUGUAACUGACCCAAAUGCUGUAAAUCCCUUCACGUUUCUCCUUGGUUCUUCAUAUUGCCUUGCUUCAACACUCCAGGUUGCUCAAAGAGGGCUGGAAAUCACUUUAUGCAAAUACACAUUCUCUAAUUGCAUCUGGACAUGCACAGUGUAGGAGAAAUGCUCCUGAAGCAGUGAUUGAGCACCUGGUGGGAAGGCAGGGCCAACCCAGGGGAGCUCAGGUGUAUUCAAUGCACUGAGUGACCAGGAGGGCUGGAGCCAGGAUCCACCCCUGCCCAGACCUCAUUUAAGGGUUGGCAGUGGAGGUGAGGGCUUUUCACUGGAGAUCCCUGCCUACCUGAGGCCUUUUGAAGCCCAGCAGUGUUGCUGAGCUGCUUUCCCCCCAGGUUUGGAUUUCUGCCAUUUGCACAUCAGCCUUUUGCUCUGAAGGCUCUACAUACCGGGAAGCGCACGGCCGAGGAUUUGUUGCAGUGAACUGAGAUGGGAGCGAAGCUGUAGAGGGAUUUCAGCACGUCUCUGUUGAAUGUGUUCCAAGGGAUGGAGGAGAACUGCUGUGGGACAGAGACCUGUGGGCACAUGCAGACCUCCUCAUCGUUAAACCUGUGCAGGAGAGAUGCCAUGCUGAAAUGCUGUAGAGAUAGCCUGGUGCAUCAUCCCUUCCUGCCCUCAAGCUCAACCUGGAAAGGCUCCAAACUGCAUAUGGAAGACUUGGGGCUACCAGCCUGCUUGUGCAUAGGAUAAUCCCUACAAGGUCAGAUUUUCCUGCAGGCUACAGGGCUGCUCAAUGUCUGCUUGGGAUCACACAGUGUGCUUUACAGACCCCUUAUGCUGGGCCAUGCAGCACAGCCCCAUUCCCAAAGGGAUCCCCAUUCUCAUGCUGCCUCCAGCCUUAAAGCCUGGGCUUGGUGCCUGCUCUGUGGUAGGACUCCUUCCAGCCAUACCCUGCACAACCAGCACUGAAAACCCACAUUCACAAUUCUUUCUUCCAAUAUUGCUAGCAAAGAUCCCUUUUCCUGCUCCAGUCACCCUGUACCUGUUGACAAGGUUGAAGUAACGGUGCAGAUAGCCUGGAUCCACAGCACUUUUGCAGAGCUCCAGUUGUGUCUGGGGGUAGUAGUGCACGUAGUUCACGCACAUCUCCUCCAUGAUGCCAAACCCACCCUGUGGCACAGAAACAACCCCUGUCCCUGCAGAAACCAUGCCAGGAUCCAGCCUGGCAAUGCUGGAGCCACAGGGGAUGCAAAAAGGGGCUGCAGGGCUGAGCCCACACCUGCAUGCACACACACACACUGCCCUCUGUGCAAGAACAGGCAUUCAGGCCUGAUCCUGUGCUUUACAUUAAAAUGCAGAUUCCCUGUAAUCCCUCUGCUAUAUUUAGCUUUGUGCCUGUUGAUGGUACCUCUGACAGGCUCUUUAUAUUUUAGUUUUGCUAGGGGAAAAAAAAAAAGAUAUAACAUGCUCUGUCAAAAAAAAAUAAUACCACUUCUCUUUAAUUACAGUUAAUCCCCGGUGGAACAGUUUGUGAUGGGAAUUAAAGUGACACAUGCUACUUCUCAAUUAACACCUUGGCAUCCCAGCUGCAGGCAGCAUAGCUUUGUUGGCUCAUUUCUUUUCCAACCCCCUCCCCACCUUGUUUCUGCUUCAGUUUGCACUGAUUUCAACCCCUUUAUUGCCACACUCACCACAGUCACUUUGCUCCUGUCCUCUGUGUUGUAGGUACAGGUGGUGAUGAGUUCGUCACCCUGUGAGGUUCCAAUAGAUGUGAUGGGGUGAGGAAAUACAAAGCUCCCCCCUCCCCACACAUCAAAUAUUGGCACAAGUGAAUCCAUAAUGCAGCAGACCUCUGUGCUCUGAUGUGGUUUGGCCUCAGAGCCUCCCAAGCACUUGCUAUAGUUGCACCUCCCGGGUGGAUUCACUACAGCCCUACCCCAGGAAAUAUUUCUUCCCUUAUCAAUGCACUUGGGCCACAGUUUGCACACCCAGACUUGCACCCAACUUGGCUGCCCAUCAUCCUGCAGGAGCCCAAGCACAGCCCCAUUGGGACAGGAGCAGGGUUGAAGCUCUGAGCAGGGCACUGAUGAUGGAGCAGCAGAGAGGAGAUGAAUUCACUCACCGGAAAAACUGCAACCAACUCUUUCAGCAUGCGGAUCUCCUGAGUGGGAGGAGGAGAGGUGAGUCAGAGAGGCACCCAUGGGUGUCACCGACCCAGCACAGGGAGCAGGGCUGUACCUGGAAGUGGGGGCUGUAGUGCCUAUCGGCAUUCACCACCUGCUGCUCUCUGCCAUCCCGUGACAGCACAGUCACCACUUUUCUCCCUGCCAGGUGAGUGUGGAGCUGGGAGGCGAAGAUGCGGAUCCCAUCUGUAGGCAGUGCCUGGGGAAGGAUAUACCCAAAAAUACCCACUAAAACCUCCCUGAGAACAGGGUGGGCAGUUUGAAAAUGUACUUGAGUGAGCCCUUGAGGAGCUCCAGAAUGCAGAGGCCAUGUCAGGAGAUUAGGAAGUAGAUGACCUUUAAGGUCCCUUCCAACACAAGCCAUUCUAUGACUCUGUGAUCUCUGCAUUCCCAUAGAGCAAAGCACCCAGCAUGGCACAGCAGUAUGACCUCCUAGGGGGUUAUGGUACUGUGGGGAGAUGGAGCAGGUGGUUCCAGAGGAGAGAUACCUUCCUGGGGAAUUCAAUGCAUCCCAACCAGCUGCUCACUGUUGGUCGCAUACAGGGGGCUUCCUCCCAGCAUGACCCCAUGUGAAAGGGCUCAGGGAGUUGGGGUGCCAGGCACUCACCUUCUGGGUGCAUUUGUCAGUGCAGUACCCAGUGAGGAUGAAGGAGGUCUCCCCUGGGGGCACGGCCAUCACUGGUGUGUAGACCAAGCCCAGCUCCAUGAUGCCAGCAUCGUGGGGACGCAGGCUGGCUGUGUAGUACAGGCGGAUUCCUGAGGAAUCACGGCGUCCUGGCAGGAGAGAGAACAGGGCAUCAAACACAGCAUGGGCUCAGGACUGAGAAAGGGUGCUCAGCUUGGUAUAAGUGAAGGGAGAUUUAAUGAUCUUUGAGGCCUUCUCCAACAUUAAUGAUUCUAUGACUCUCAAAAACACAGCUCUUGUUUAAGUCAUUUGUCCAAAGGAUGAAAGCCAUGUUCCUACUAGGAACACAGCAAGAGGGAAAAUGCAAAUUCCCCCUGGAGAUGUGGGGCUGGCUGUGAGCCUCCAGUCUCUGGGUUGGAACCCAUCAUGGCAUGAGGAUAACAAGGGAGACCCUACUGGUUAACAUAGCAAAGCUGAUAAGUUAUGAAAGACGUGAGCUCCAUAUUUAUAGAUGUGUUUCUUCUCAAGUUGUUGAAUGUGCUAUGGUUGAUCUACAGUACAUAUGCUCUGGUCUCCUAAAAAUACACUUGGGUAGUCAAGAAGUUACAUGAUUUUAUGUAAAUGAAGAAACUGGGUUGUUUGCAAUCCUUUUAUUUUUUUGAUGUGUCUCCUGACAAUGUUAUUGAAGCAGGAUCACCACUAAAACAACAACUAAAUUCCCCUAUCCCUAGCCAGGUUGGUGCUGUCUCUCUGUUGACUUUGGUAUCACUGUUGGCUCUGAGCUCAGAUCCAUCACCACCACCUUGCACUGAAGUUGGGGGGCACCCCAUAGCACUCCCCCUAAGUAAAGGUGCUGAGCAUCUUCCCUGCCUGUGCUUGAGGAUGGAUCCAGGCUCUGGUGCCUGUUCCCUGAUAAUCCCUGGCACUAACCCAGUUCUCUCAUGUCUUGCUGGCAAGGCACUGGGUGUCACCAUGCCCCCCACUCACCUUUGAAUAUCAGAGGGUUGUGGUAGUGAAUCUCAAGGCGCAAAUAUCUGGAGGAGCCUGGACCACCAAAGGCAAGCCCUGCUUCUUUGGGGUAGUAGAAAGCCUGGAAACAGAGGGAUGGCAUUAAGGGAGCAAAUGGGGUGGUUUUCAUGAAAACUAAGCUGAAAUGACCAAGGAGAGGAAGGUAUGGGUGUAAUCCUGAGCCCUGCUAUGGGCUGGGGGAUGUGACUUGUUCCCUCUGUUGUUCUUAAUGUUGAGCUGUUCUUGCAUCUAAAGGCCUCUUGGGAUAACAUAAUCACUGAGGAGGGAGGGAAUCACACUGAUUUGUGAAGCUGAGGAGGUGGACUGAGGUGAGGAGGGAAUGCAAGGGUAUCCUGGAGGAGAAUAGGGUGCUCACAUGAACCCAAAUCCCAAUUGGAGUUGGGGCAGCCCAUGCAGGGAUGUUCAUUCCCAUGAGAAUGGGCCUGAAACAGUUGAGAGAUGGCAGGAAAGGUGCCCAGGAGUGAUGAUGGAUCCCAUCUUGCACCCACCUGCGCUCCCAUGGCCCAUGCUGCAAGCACAUGCCUGCAGUAGUUGAGCCUCUCUGGCUUCAUCUUGGAGUCACACAGACCACUGUAAUGGGGGAUGCUGUCAAACUCAGCUGAGCACUGGAAGAUUUCCAUGUGGUGGACCAGGGCUUCAUUACCCGCUGUGAUCACUGGCUCAUACUGCAAAGGGACAUCCGAGAAGGAGGGAAAUGCAUUAGGACCAUAUCUGAGAACCCAUCCCUGGUUGUGAUGUUCAUGCGUGCUCCACACAGAGCCUACUAUGGGUAUGUACUAUUGAGUUUUACUAUGCCAGGAGAUGCUUGAGCCCUGGGCAUGAGAGACCAAGGACCAAGAGCUCUUGGCUGGCCAUCAGAGCCCCUGGAGAAACAUCUGCUACACUCCCUGAAGGGGAAUGCACUGGAUGAGUAGCAGAGCUUGCCCUGCUUUGUGCUGACCAAGCCCUUUGCUGUUUUUUCUAGGUGGAGAGGGCUUCAGUUUUCCACAAAGAGGGUCCUGGCCCCACAGCCUGCAGCUCUUGGGCUCCAUUCUUGGCCAGCAUCUGCUCCGGGCACAAAGAGAUCACAUCGCGGCUGAUUGCAAAAGAAUACGUUUUAUGGCUAAUUUCAAGCAAGCAGAGAGAUCCUAUACCAAACCCACAGCAUCAACGUCUGGAUCAGAAACCCUGCAGCCCCUUUGUACCACUUGGACCUGGUGCUAUGCCCUGCACCCACUCCUCCAAACCCACAGGGGUCAAAUUCACCCAUCAGGCAGUGACCCCAAACACAGCCACAAAAGCAACAAAACUCACCCCAAAAUAUGAACUGUUACCAUCAGUCCAGAGCAUGGCCAGGUCUGCGUUCUCAAACUCGCCUCGGUCCGACAUCCCAAAGAGGAGCCCAAACUUGAACUCCCUGAUGAGGAUCUGGAAAUACACGGCUUGCUCGGGGUAGCUGACGUUCCACGAGAGCUCCAGCAGCCCCUGAGGAUCGAGGGGCACCUUGUAGGGGAAAUAGGUGCUGCGAGGUGCCGAGCCCUUCAGAGCCACCACCAGGAUGACCAGGAACACAGCCACCAUGGUGAAGUACAUGGAUGCCAGCUCCCGCAGCCUGAAGCUGGGGCAGGGGCAAGGCGUGCUGCCGUGGGUCUGCAUGCUGGGCAGGACAGCACCCACCCUCCUGGCUUUUGCCAUUUAUGUGCUGGCCCUCCUGGGUGAGCUGGGUCCAAAUGUUCUCUCUCUUGCACCACUGGAGGAAUCUCCCCACGUUGGAGACAGAAAUGAACCCCAGCUUCAUGGCUCCUGUUGGAGGAUCCUGAGCAGUUUGGGUGAACACUUGCAGCUCUUUGAAGCAUGAAAGGUGAGGGGGAUGAGUCACAGCAAGCACCAUGGCGUGGUGAUGGGGUGAUGUGGGAGCAGGGACAGGCCACAGCUGGCAAAAAGAGAGCAGCAUUUCUCACUGGGGGCACCACAGAGAUAUUCCAUCCCCAUUGCUUCCCCCAAACACUGCCACAGCCGAGCCACCUAAUGAAAUCCUACUUGCCUGUGCAUGCUAUAUUAGGGUUACCAUGGAUAUGGUGCCACAAACACUGGGCUGUGGCUUUGUUAUAUAAACAGGAGAGAUUGCCACAAAUACCCAAAAUAUCUGAGAAGGACAGGAAGAGACAAAAGCAUUUGCUGGGUUUGUUUAUACAGGGUUGUGUGAUGCGGUGGAUGGUGUCAGUGGGAGGUGGGAGAGAUUUGGGCUGCAUCUGAGAACUGGAGCAUAACCGAGCUGAUAUCAUGGUGGUCUCAGGCUCCAUAGCUCUUAGAGGCUCCCUCUGGGCUGUGCUCUCUGCAGACCAUGAUGUGAUUUGUGCCUUUUGCCAUGCUCAAGCUGGCCCGAGCUGAGUGCCAUGCAGCCCUCCCCUAUUGCUGCCUUAUGGGAUGGGAUUCUGCUGCCUGCAGUGGGAGGGGAACGGGACUGGUGAUGCUGGAGACAUACACUCAGCUGCUGGAGGUGUCCUCACCCAGCAAGGCUGAGCCAUGCCAGGUACAGCAAGUCCCUUUGUGCAGUUGAAGAAAUUGUGUAAUUCAGAGCAAAAACAGCUCUAGAAAUGGAGGUGGAAUGUAAGGGAGAUAGAGACAUCACAGUGGCUAAAAUUGUAUUGCACUCCCACUCCCCUGCCAAUAAAAGCACCAUAAAUAAAGUGGCUUUGCAAUACCCAUCUCCACGCAUUGUAACACGGAUUCACGUGUCCCUGCAAAAGAUGGUCCAGGCAGGAUUAAACGAGCUUCCAUUCUCCAUCCAUGGCACCUUCCCAUGGUCACCUCAUGGCCUUCCAGCUCCCUUCCCUGCAGCCCUAAAGCACUUCUGCAUGGCUCUGCUCCCUGCUGCCAGCCCUCCUCAUAGCUUUUCCCAUAGCCAUUGAUACCUGCAACAGGAGAGUUACCAGAAGGUAUAAUAAAGGGUAGAUAUAGUGGAUAAAUAUUAUAUAUAUGAAUAAUUCAACGUGGCUCCAGUACAGACUUGCCUUAUGUGGCUUCAGCCGUAACCAGCUUUGGUUCUGGUUGGUGGCCACAUAAUCCAAGGGUCAAAUAGAGCCACGUUUGGAAGGAAGAUGUCACUCGUGUCACAAUAACCAAGUCUGCUUCUCCCUGAAGGCAGCACAUUGUGAGCGGUACCUUGGGGAAGGAGGGGGGGGGAAAAGCCUGAUUCAGAUGCUGAAUGAUGCAGAUCAUGAGAUAUUCCUGGGCAGUUUGAUCCCAAGCCCUGGGGCAGGUAUGAGGAAAAAAGAACAUGUGGAUGCAGGGGUGCACUUAUGCUGUGCAUACACCAGUGGAGGCAUUGGGGGGAAGCAGCUGCUUAUAAUGCAUGCACCUUACUUAAAGCCUACAAAUGGUUUGGCUCCUGGCUGUUGCUGCUCUGUUUAUCCCACAGCCUUGGCAGGCACGGGACCCCUUCCAAACGGCAAGGAGAGCCAAUGGAAGUUGUCACUGGCUUGUGGCCAGCUCUCGAGGCUUGUGACUGGCUCCCAUGCUGCAGCUCCUCAUUAGCACUUCCCUUCUGCAAUAAUGUCUGUUGCAAAGUCUGCGGGAUUACAGCUCUUUGCACCCUGUUCUUGUUCAGUCCCUGGCACAAGAAAGCUGUGCUCACAACAGGCUACGGAAAUAUGGCAUAAAAACCUUUCUCUCCUUCACAGGUUCGAUAGCUGAUCUUUGCAGGGUUGCUUUUAGAGUAAAUGGAUCUGGUGUUCGGGUUCCACAAAAUAAGAUCUAUACUUGCUGAAGGCAGCUCAAGUAUUCGCUAAGUCCUUGCUGUAACAUUGUUUUUCCUUGCUGCUGUCCUGGGUUCAGAUCUGUGAAGAAUUGCUUUGACAUAUUGGUUAUAAAAGCAGCUCAGGAAGGAAGGAGGCUGUUUAUUUCCAUGCAGGGAUAGGGGUACUGAAACUGAAAUGAAUGGCCCGAAAACGAGCCUCUAUCUUUCACAUUUCCCAACAAAGAUGCAAUGAUAAAUUGCCAGGCAAUGACGUUUGACCCAUAAGAGUAAUAAAAAGCUAAAACUGUGUCUUCUUGGCAUAGCUUUCCAAUAUGUUCUGCGCAAAACCCGAGCAACCUUGAAGCAGAGCUGAAAAAGAACCAUGAUAUGGACUGCUCAGUGCUAACCAAUGCAGCCCGUGAUAAUUAAACACUGAUGGUCUGAAGUGGACUUUCCAAAGCUGAACUAUUUGUUGUCCCCUUGCUUUCAUUUCUUGCUGUCAGACUUGUGCUCAGAUCCCUGCUCAGGCGUUUGAACUGCGUGCAAAGUGCAUUGAAAUUACUGGCUGUAAUUAGUUUAUUUAGGGAGCAAUUAAUUAAACACAACUGUUUCCCUCUCUAUAGAUUAAAAGAGCGCUAUAAGAGAUAGCAUCUUAAAAAGAGCAGAUGUGCUCUGAAAGGACCAGAGACCAACUGUUCCAUCAGUUGAGGAGGGCUGGACAAGUAGCAGAGGGCCAAAGAGAAACACGAAGUUCAGUGUUAGGGACAGCAGUGCCAAUGGCUCCAGGGGGUGCCCACCUGCUUGAGGAGUGGCUCCAAGCCACAGCUUUUCCCUGUUACUAAAUGAUUUUGUUUUCGGCUCUGGGACACAAGAACCUUUUCCCUCCCUCUCUUUGAUGACCGCUUGGAUGGGGAUGUAAUUCCGUGCCACCUCUGCUCGAGCAGGGCGCGUUGUGCUCAGAGCUGCAGCGCCUUGGGGGGGUCUGCGGAUGGGGCUGCCCGAGUCGCUGGGGUGGUACUGAUAAGGAAAAGAGAUGAGAGCGGUUCUUACCAAAAACCUCAGCGUAACUCCUGGUGAAUGGUGCAUGGGACAAAGCCGUGUAAUGUGUGAAAAGCCACGGGGAUGCUUGUGGGGCUAAGCGGGGAGCA